RNAcentral lists this long non-coding RNA (1365 nucleotides) under Ursus maritimus (polar bear). RNAcentral describes it as "lncRNA (ENSUMAG00000023341.1)". The record is from RNAcentral. Lineage: Eukaryota; Metazoa; Chordata; Mammalia; Carnivora; Ursidae.
CGGCUUCCAGGCCUCCCCUCCGCAGCCUCCGAUGGCGGAGGGGACGACCCCGUUCUGGGACACUUCGUGUUGUACUGUCCCCAAACCCGUUCCCCUGGCCUUACCUGCCCGAGCGUGUUUACAUUCCCAGUAUCCCACUGCAAAGUCAGCUCUUAGUAGGCAGCCGGCAUCUUCGUUCCAUCUCGGAGUGUCGAGUGGGCGGGGAGAUGAGGGAAAAAAGAGCCCAAGAGAGAGAACCCGGGAGAUUUUUGGAGAGAGAGUAAGGGCAAAAUAGAGGAUGAGAAGUGGGAGGUCCUUUGCAGUUGGAAAAACAGUAACAGUGGAAGAGAGGAACCUGGGCAAGAAGCAGUGGGAUCAGCAGAGACAUGGAGGAGGGGGCCUUGCCCAGUAGCAGCAGCGGGGGGCAGCAGAAGGGUAAAUGCCAUAUUCAUUCGAUUUUUAGCCUCCACAUUACUUUCCCUUUUAAAUUUAUUGUGUGAGGUUCAGAUUAGAGUCCUCAAUGCUUUCCCAAUCUUUAUUACAUAUUGAAAAUAUUAUUUGGUACUCUGUAACUUUACACCAAUUUAAUGUGCACUCAGGGUAUUGAUAAUUUUUAAUAUUAAGUCAGACCCAGUUUAAUCAGUGUAAUAGGUUACAGCUUCCCUUCUUCACUUAUGUGAUCUUUUGACUUAGCUGGUUGUGAGCUAAGGUCUCCAACCAAGGGUGUGUUCUCUUCAAGUUUCCUUUGUCCUUUUUCUACAAAUGUGGAGCCAUGCGCUGGAUUGUCCAGCCCUUCUUGUUCCUAGCCUCUGGGGGGACAUGGGCAGGUCAUUCUCUGGUGCUGCUGAGGAUUGAGACAAUCUCUCGGUGUCUCAGUGUCUGCGGCACCUUCUCAGUGGCGUCCAGUCCAGCACCAGCCUCUCCUGGACAUCCAAGGCAGGCCUAGAAAGCCUUCCAUGAGAUUCCCAUUUGGGGCAGUGCCAUUUCUCAGGCUCCUGAACUACCCUAAGAAAUUCUGCAGAGGGGUUAAGUCACGUAGACACCCUCUCCAAACUUUCCAGGCAGACACUACUGGCUCUUGGAUCCUCAUGGCCACUAGGAACAUUUCAAGAAAGACAGGGAGAGCAUGGCGAAGUUCACUGCUGGUCCAAGAAAAAGAAGCUAAAAUAGACGAUGCAGGUGGUCUAAUGGACUUGGAAAGACACAGUAAAAGUGAAAGGGAGUGAGUGAAUAUAUUUUGGUAUUCAAGUUUUACUACAAUGCAUAUGAUACAAUAUCCAUUUUUCCUCUUCAAAUGUUUUUUCAUAUGGUACAACUUCAAUGAGCUUGUUUUGGUAUUUUUUUAAUGGAAAUAAAAAUAUGAAAUUGGGGGCGCCUGGGUGGCUC